This 334-nucleotide unclassified non-coding RNA is filed under the name Hevea brasiliensis (rubber tree). The record is from RNAcentral. Lineage: Eukaryota; Viridiplantae; Streptophyta; Magnoliopsida; Malpighiales; Euphorbiaceae.
CUUUUGACUGUUGAUUUCCCGCGCUCGAGUAUUAAACUAGGGAAUAACCGCUCCUCUGCUAUGACAGCUGGGCGGUGUGACAGAUGGGCAAUUUGAAAAGCGAGCACACUCUAAUUUAAUGCGCGUUGGUCAGUUAGAUUUGUGAAUUCCCCUUUGUUUUUACGCAAACGUCGGCUACAGAACCAGAGGAGACUUUGAUUGGGUAGCCUAAUCAGCUUUUAUUCGUUUAUUUCGCGUCAGAACCGCGUUCUGUGACAGCCUAUAAAUUCAUCACUCUCACAGAGCACAAACCAUCAGUUACAAAACGCAAACGCAUUUUAUUUUAACGAGGUUG